GAGAAUUUAAAUAGCCGCAGUACCCUGACUGUGCAAAGGUAGCAUAAUCAGUUGACUUAUAAUUGAAGUCUAGUAUGAAUGGGAACACGGGAAUAUUCUGUCUUUAAUAUAUAAAAGAAAUUACUAAUUAAGUGAAAAUUCUUAAAAAUAAGAAAAUAGACGAGAAGACCCUAGAAAUUUUUUAAUUUGAUUUUGUUGGGGCGACAGGGUAACAAAGAACUUACCUAAAGUAAUAGGAAAUUUUUUAGUGGUGUAAUUAAAUUACUCUAGGGAUAACAGCAUAAUAUUUUAAAGGUUGUGACCUCGAUGUUGGACUAGGAAAUACACUACUUAAAAGGUAGUGUUUAUGGUUCUGUUCGAACUUUUACUCCUACAU
This 376-nucleotide ribosomal RNA is filed under the name Monacha cartusiana. RNAcentral's name for it is "partial large subunit ribosomal RNA". It matches the Rfam family "Bacterial large subunit ribosomal RNA", at positions 1917 to 2601 of the family's 2925-position model. The record is from RNAcentral. Lineage: Eukaryota; Metazoa; Mollusca; Gastropoda; Stylommatophora; Hygromiidae.